UGUGUACUCCCUCCGUUCCAAAAUACUUGACUUCCAUUUGUCCAAAAAUGGAUGUACCUAUAUACUAAGACAUUUCUAGAUACAUAUAUAUUUUGACAAAUAGAAGGCAUGUAUUGUGCAACGGAGGGAGUAGAAU
Triticum aestivum (bread wheat) is the source of this 136-nucleotide non-coding RNA. Lineage: Eukaryota; Viridiplantae; Streptophyta; Magnoliopsida; Poales; Poaceae. The record is from Rfam.